UUCUAUGGCCAUACCACCCUGAAUGCACCCAAUCUCAUCUGAUCUUUGAAGAAAAGAAGGGUGGGUCCUGGUUAAUACUAGUAUAGGUGAUACCAGGGCCUGAGCUU
Non-coding RNA from Fukomys damarensis (Damara mole-rat), 107 nucleotides. The record is from Rfam. Lineage: Eukaryota; Metazoa; Chordata; Mammalia; Rodentia; Bathyergidae.